AGUUUUUCAUGUUUUUAAUCCUCCAAGUUUUUGAGAUCGAGAGUCAAUUCCUGCUCGAAGAACAUGUAUAUAGCUUCCAUUUGCCAUCAGCUGGGUCCUCCCAUCAAAAUAAAUGGAAGCAGAAAAUGCUUUAGUGAAACAAAGGAAAUGUGCAAGCAUUUUUUCUUUUUCUAUUUUCCUACUUCCCCCUUUUCCUUCUGGUUCUCUUAUAACCUGAACCUCAGACGAAGGACUGCAACAACACCAGGAUGGGGAGCGGGUCACCCGGAUCAAAGCGCAAUCAAGAUGACAUCACUCCCUGGAACUGCAUUUCGACUCCCCAACUCCCGGCCUCAUAACAGGAACUCAUGCAGGGAUUUUUUCUGCUCCAUGUUUCCUCCAUUAACAGCAAUGGGAUAUACUUUGGGAGAAUACAGGCCAAUUGAAUGAUGUUUCUGCCAUAUGAAUUGUCCCAAAUGAGGUAAGCAGAAUAAUAUGGCAUUCGGUUGAGCAAUUUUUUUCUGUUUUUGGAUAACAU
This 517-nucleotide long non-coding RNA is filed under the name Suricata suricatta (meerkat). RNAcentral's name for it is "lncRNA (ENSSSUG00005020493.1)". The record is from RNAcentral. Lineage: Eukaryota; Metazoa; Chordata; Mammalia; Carnivora; Herpestidae.